This 1615-nucleotide long non-coding RNA is filed under the name Eucalyptus grandis. RNAcentral describes it as "long non-coding RNA (EGRA_LNC006318)". The record is from RNAcentral. Lineage: Eukaryota; Viridiplantae; Streptophyta; Magnoliopsida; Myrtales; Myrtaceae.
CCCGCUUUGAGGAAAGUCGAUCCUCGCGUCGCCCUCGUCGUUUUGGUCCGCUCGGCUCGCUAAUUCGGUGAGUUUAACUCACUAAAUCUUGAUUAGACGGUUAAUGAUGCCCUAAGUGUGCUUAGCCAAAGUUAAGUAAGCUUAGUUGGUUAAAUUAGUUUAUUUGGUUGAUGAUUAGAUUAUGGUGUUUAAUUAAGUUAAAGUGUGUUUAGUUUAAAGUUAAGUAUGUUUAUUUUUAAUAUAAAGCGUUGAUGUGACAUAAUAGGGUUUUAAUUUUGAAUUAUUUAAUUGCUUCGAAAUUCUGGAAAUUUAUAAUAUUAUAUUAAUUCCGAAAUUAUUAAAUAUUAUUAUUUAAAAAAAAUCAGAAAAAUUAUUUUUGACCCCGGUUGCUCAGAAUUUCGUGCCGAUCGCUGCUGUGUAGUUGGAUUUUGAAAUUGAUGAUUGGAUAUUAUAAAUUGAGUGUGGAUUUCGAAAACUAUGAAUAUUAUUAUUUAAUUAAUUUUCGGAAUAAAUUUAAUUAUCUAUUAAAUUCCGAAAAUUUUCAUUGGGAUCUUAUUUGCUCAGAAUUUCGUGCCGAUCGCUGUUGUGCAUUUAGAAUUUGAAUUUGAUGAAUGGAUGUGGCGAAUUGAGUGCUGAUUGUGAUAAAUAUGGAUUCUUUAUAAAAUUCUAAGUGUGGAAAUUGAUGGGCGAUUGGCCGUGAUAUGCCACUUAUUAGAGGUCGCGCCCAGUGGGGCCGUGAUAUGCCACCUACUAGAGGUCGCGCCCAGUGGGGCCGUUAUAUGCCACCUACUAGAGGUCGCGCCCAGUGAGGCCGUGAUAUGCCACCUACUAGAGGUCGCGGUCGCGCCCAGUGGGGCCGUGAUAUGCCACCUGAUAGAGGUCGCGCCCCGUGGGGCCGUGAUAUGCCACCUAUUAGAGGUCGCGCCCAGUGGGGCCGUGAUAUGCCACCUGAUAGAGGUCGCGCCCAGUGGGGCCGUGAUAUGCCACCUAUUAGAGGUCGCGCCCAGUGGGGCCGUGAUAUGCCACCUAUUAGAGGUCGCGCCCAAUGGGGCCGUGAUAUGCCACCUGUUAAAGGUCGCGCCGAGUGGGGCCGUGAUGCCACUGAUUCUAAUUUUUCCGAGUAGGGCCAUGAUUGUGAGCAAUGAUUGAUUUGUUGGAAUGACAUGUAAUCGGCGGAGUCAAUUGAUCGCUGAGACGAUCCAAGUGGUUGAAUUAUUUUGAUAAUGUGAUUGAGCCAUGGUUGUUUGGUUAUCAUAAUUGUACGUGGUUGAAUUAUAUAAAUUGCGCUAACCUGCAGAUGAAGGCUGAGGUGUGGUAAGUCUUCUGUGUGAUGUGGCUAGGCCAUCCGGGGUGUAUUUUCUUUCUAAUAGGGGUUUAGGGGGUUGAACUUGCUGAGACAUCGUCUCAUCCCGGUUGUGGGAUUAAAAUUUCAGGUCCCCGGUGGACGGAGUGGCCAGAUAGCUUUGGUUGGCCUUGAGGAGUUGCAGAGGUGAAGUCAUAAGGGUUGGAGAGCGUGUCCUGCUAGUUGGUUGUAGGAUAGUUCCCCUUUUGUCGAGCUGGUCUAUUUUGUAGAAAGUCCAGUGUUGUAUUUAAACCCUUUGUGUUUGUAAAUGAG